UUUUUAUGUAUAAUUAAACACAAACAUAUACACAAACUACACAAUAUCAUCACACACAUAAGAACUAUUCAUUUCAAAGCACUUUCUGAAUCAUCCUGUACCAAAUCACACAGCUAGCACAGGAUACCCAGAUUCAUUGCAUAACUGUACUAGAUCACAUAACAAGUACAGUGCAUCGUACAUCUGCAGCAAAUCACACAGUCAGUGCAAUAUACCCAAAUUUCACUCGUACACACAUUGGUUAUACAUUUCACAUACAUAACAUAUGUACACACAUU
RNAcentral lists this long non-coding RNA (278 nucleotides) under Carica papaya (papaya). Its description in RNAcentral is "long non-coding RNA (CPAP_LNC012561)". Lineage: Eukaryota; Viridiplantae; Streptophyta; Magnoliopsida; Brassicales; Caricaceae. The record is from RNAcentral.